Cyanistes caeruleus (blue tit) is the source of this 1964-nucleotide long non-coding RNA. RefSeq lists it as uncharacterized. The record is from RefSeq and is a predicted model, not a curated record. Lineage: Eukaryota; Metazoa; Chordata; Aves; Passeriformes; Paridae.
UCGGCUUGGCACGGCUCGGCACGGCAGAGCUCAGUGCCACUGGCACAGCUUGGCAUGGCACUGCUGGCACAGUUUACCAUGGCAUGGCACUGAUGGCACACCUUGGCAUGGCUUGAAUGACAUGAAUGACAUGACAUGACAGGACUGGCACUGACAGGACAUGGCACUGCCGGCACAGUUUAGCAUGGCAUGGCAUGGGCUGGCACUGCCGGCACAGUUUACCAUGGCAUGGGCUGGGUUGGAUCUGCCAGCCCAGCAGCUGGAGCACCUUAGCAGGGCACAGCAUGGCACAGCUCAGACACCUGGGCAUGGCUGACACGAGAUGCCACAGCCUGGAAUGGCACAGCAUGGCCCGGCUGGCACAGCAUGCCCAGCGUGGCUGACGAUGGCAUGGCACGGCUCAGCUGGCACACCUUGGCACGGCACUGCCUCGGUAAGAUCAGCCUGGCACAGCCUGGCACGGCACAGCUCAGCAGCCCUGUGCCCGUGUCCUGCCACUCUCGUGACCCUGCAGGCAGUGCCUGUGCCCCGUCCCAGAGCCACCCAAGGGGAGGGGGCUGACCUUACCUCAGGGCUCUCACAAAGUGACAAUUCCCUUGUGAACCUACAACUCCUUUUCUCCAGGCAUUUUCUCCUUUGCUUUGCUGAGUCUUAAAAAUCUUCAGGUGCCAGUGCAGGCUGCUGUAUAACUAAUUAACUUCCAACAAUUAACUUCCUAUUUCUAGUUACCUUUUCCAGACAUCCUUGAAUUAAUUUCAAAAUCCCCCGGGGCUUCAGUUUUGCAGGGGGCUGAAAAGCAGCCGAGCUCAGCCAGGCUGUAUCCCCGAGGAGCCGAGGCACACGGAUAAAUCCUGGAGCUGUAUCCAGGUGAUACAGGUGUAUCCAGGUGAUUCCUGCACGUCAGGCUGCGGGGUCCUGCUGGGGUGACAGCUCCUUCCCUGGCUCUCCUGGGCUUCAGGUGGGAGCUGGUGGGAGAAUGGGGGCUUGAGGGGAGAUGUGCAAUAGAAUGGGGAUGUGGAGUGACAGGAUAAAGUUGUGGGAGCCAGGAUGGGAUGAGAGCUGAGGACCUUAGGCCUGAAGAAAGGCAGUGUGGGGCCAGGUGCCCAUUCCAGCCCCACCUCUGCCCCCCCUGGGUUUGUGUUUCAGGUCCCUCCUGCCUCCCCAGUGAGGGAGAGGGGGAAGGACAGACACCUCUAAUUAAUCAUAUUAACUCCUGACAGACGCUUUAUGUUCCAACAAUGUUGCUAUUAUUGAGUUCAUGUGCCCACCCCUCCCCAAGGCUGCUGCUCUGGGUUCUGGGAAAAAAGGCUUUGCUGGAUUUCCCCGGUGAGUGCUGGCAUCGCCCAGCGCAGCCUGACAUCCAGCCUCGCUUAUCCAACCCUAUCAAUCACACCCAGGGUCAGACCUGUCCAUUUCCCCUCUUUGUGAGGCUUUUUUCUUCCCUUUUUUUCGCUCUCCCAAAGCUGACCGCGGGAUCGAUUCAAUCCGGACAGCGGGAUGGAAGCGGAGAGGCGCUGCCUUUCAAAGGAGCCAUUCAGGGAAGGAGGAAACGGAAAAAAAGGCUUUCCUCAAAGUCCCUCGAGUUGUUUGCCAACAACAACAACUCGGCCUUCACAGAGUAACCUAAAAUCAGGACCUGUCCCACCUGGGCUGCCACUGAGGAGCUUUGGUUUCACCAAGGACGAGUUCCUGUGCAGAGCCCUGACGAAGCCCAGGGACUCCGGCGUCUUUGCGACCUGUGAAGCGAGGCUGGGGAAGAGGGAAUUAGGUUUUUGUUUACCUUCAAGACCUUCCAGUAACUUGGGAUGAGUCUGAGCAGGGAGUUUUCUGUCCCUUGGCCCCUGGGUGCCAAGGGGUGCAGAGCAGGCAGGAUGGAGAGAGGCACCCAAGCGCUGCAACCUGCACGAAUUUAAAUCGCUGUAACUCUGCUGGGCUUUGACUGAAUAAAUCACUCCUGCCUCAUU